UACGUAGGCAGCGAGCGUUGUUCGGAGUUACUGGGCGUAAAGGGUGUGUAGGCGGUUUUCUAAGUUUGGUGUGAAAUCUCCCGGCUCAACCGGGAGGGUGCGCCGAAAACUGGGAGACUAGAGUGCGGGAUGGGAGAGUAGAAUUCCUGGUGUAGCGGUGAAAUGCGCAGAUAUCAGGAGGAACACCGGUGGCGAAGGCGGGUCUCUGGGCCGAUACUGACGCUGAGGAGCGAAAGCGUGGGAGCAAACAGG
RNAcentral lists this ribosomal RNA (252 nucleotides) under uncultured bacterium. RNAcentral describes it as "partial 16S ribosomal RNA". It matches the Rfam family "Bacterial small subunit ribosomal RNA", at positions 524 to 776 of the family's 1533-position model. The record is from RNAcentral.